AGUAAAAGUCGUAACAAGGUUUCCGUAGGUGAACCUGCGGAAGGAUCAUUAAUGAAUGAACUUGGGCAAAGUUGUCGCUGGCCUCAGCAAUGGGGCAUGUGCACGCUUUGUUCAUCCACCCUUCACACCACUGUGCACUUCUCAUGGGUCGGGUUGCGUCUGAAAUAUGGCAAAGCCCUUCUCAUGUGUUUUAACCACACACUAUACAAGUUUUAGAAUGUAACAAUCAUGCAUCAAUGCAUAUAAUACAACUUUCAGCAACGGAUCUCUUGGCUCUCGCAUCGAUGAAGAACGCAGCGAAAUGCGAUAAGUAAUGUGAAUUGCAGAAUUCAGUGAAUCAUCGAAUCUUUGAACGCACCUUGCGCUCCUUGGUAUUCCGAGGAGCAUGCCUGUUUGAGUGUCAUGGUAUUCUCAACCCUGCUACAUUUUUUUGUAGUUGGGCUUGGACUUGGAGGUUUAUUGCUGGUGUUCUCUUUUGAACGCGGGCUCCUCUGAAAUGCAUUAGCUGGAAUGUUACCGAGCAUGAUUCAAUGUGAUAAUUGUCUACGUUGCUUCAACUUGGUAUUAAUUCUGUUUCAGCUUCAAACCGUCCUUGCGGACAAUAUCUUGAACAUCUGACCUCAAAUCAGGUAGGACUACCCGCUGAACUUAAGCAUAUCAAUAAGCGGAGGAAAAGAAACUAACAAGGAUUCCCCUAGUAACUGCGAGUGAAGCGGGAAAAGCUCAAAUUUAAAAUCUGGCAGCUUUGGCUGUCCGAGUUGUAGUCUGGAGAAGCGUUUUCCGUGC
This 786-nucleotide ribosomal RNA is filed under the name uncultured fungus. Its description in RNAcentral is "eukaryotic LSU rRNA". The stretch from base 250 to 403 matches the Rfam family "5.8S ribosomal RNA". Lineage: Eukaryota; Fungi. The record is from RNAcentral.